UACGUAGGCAGCGAGCGUUGUUCGGAAUUACUGGGCGUAAAGAGUGUGUAGGCGGUGCUCCCAGUCUGUUGUGAAAUCUCCCGGCUUAACUGGGAGGGUGCAGCGGAAACUAGAGUGCUAGAGGGUGGGAGAGGUAAGCGGAAUUCCUGGUGUAGCGGUGAAAUGCGUAGAUAUCAGGAGGAACGCCUGUGGUGUAGACAGCUUACUGGACCACUUCUGACGCUGAGACACGAAAGCGUGGGUAGCAAACAGG
RNAcentral lists this ribosomal RNA (253 nucleotides) under uncultured bacterium. RNAcentral describes it as "partial 16S ribosomal RNA". It matches the Rfam family "Bacterial small subunit ribosomal RNA", at positions 524 to 776 of the family's 1533-position model. The record is from RNAcentral.